This 279-nucleotide ribosomal RNA is filed under the name uncultured bacterium. RNAcentral describes it as "partial 16S ribosomal RNA". It matches the Rfam family "Bacterial small subunit ribosomal RNA", at positions 506 to 784 of the family's 1533-position model. The record is from RNAcentral.
UGCCAGCCGCCGCGGUAAUACGUAGGUGGCGAGCGUUAUUCGGAUUUAUUGGGCGUAAAGGGUCCGUAGGGGGUUUAUUAAGUCUGGCGUGAAAUCCCGAGGCUCAACCUCGGAACUGCACUGGAUACUGAUGGACUAGAGCAUAGGAGAGGAGAGUGGAAUUCCUGGUGUAGCGGUGGAAUGCGUAGAUAUCAGGAGGAACACCGAUGGCGAAGGCAGCUCUCUGGACUAUUGCUGACCCUGAGGGACGAAAGCUAGGGGAGCGAACAGGAUUAGAUA